This 497-nucleotide ribosomal RNA is filed under the name uncultured bacterium. RNAcentral describes it as "partial 16S ribosomal RNA". It matches the Rfam family "Bacterial small subunit ribosomal RNA", at positions 28 to 507 of the family's 1533-position model. The record is from RNAcentral.
GAUGAACGCUGGCGGCGUGCCUAAUACAUGCAAGUCGAGCGAACAGACGAGGAGCUUGCUCCUCUGACGUUAGCGGCGGACGGGUGAGUAACACGUGGAUAACCUACCUAUAAGACUGGGAUAACUUCGGGAAACCGGAGCUAAUACCGGAUAAUAUAUUGAACCGCAUGGUUCAAUAGUGAAAGACGGUUUUGCUGUCACUUAUAGAUGGAUCCGCGCCGCAUUAGCUAGCUGGUAAGGUAACGGCUUACCAAGGCAACGAUGCGUAGCCGACCUGAGAGGGUGAUCGGCCACACUGGAACUGAGACACGGUCCAGACUCCUACGGGAGGCAGCAGUAGAGAAUCUUCCGCAAUGGGCGAAAGCCUGACGGAGCAACGCCGCGUGAGUGAUGAAGGUCUUCGGAUCGUAAAACUCUGUUAUUAGGGAAGAACAAAUGUGUAAGUAACUAUGCACGUCUUGACGGUACCUAAUCAGAAAGCCACGGCUAACUACGUG